AACGCAAAUUGCGCCCGAGGCUUCGGCCAAAGGCAUGUCUGCCUCAGCGUCGGCUUCACCCCUCCCCUCCCUUUUCUCUUUUUGCGAAGAGAAAGGCGAGGGGGACCUGGUUGUCUCGGCCCUCACCGGCCGGGUCCGCCGAAGCACAGAGGCUCGAGCAGGACCCCGUUACAAGGGCAACAGUCUGGUAGGCGACCUCCCCGGUCGCAUGCCGCUGGUGCCUGGGGCGCCUGCUGGUCGAGCCCGCAGGAAGUGGCUGCUUGCCACGCCUUCACCAUUCGACCUGAGUUCAGGCAAGAGCACCCGCUGAACUUAA
This 316-nucleotide unclassified non-coding RNA is filed under the name uncultured fungus. Its description in RNAcentral is "partial contains 5.8S rRNA and ITS2". The record is from RNAcentral. Lineage: Eukaryota; Fungi.